Non-coding RNA from Peromyscus maniculatus bairdii (prairie deer mouse), 786 nucleotides. The record is from RefSeq and is a predicted model, not a curated record. Lineage: Eukaryota; Metazoa; Chordata; Mammalia; Rodentia; Cricetidae.
ACCCUGCAGGAAGAAAGGGAGGCCCAGUCAAGGAAGAACUGUGGCUGACCUCUCAGGACUCAGUGGUCAGCAGCAUGGGCUUGGAGUGUCAAUGACAAGGGACCAACGCUCAACGGUUCAGCUUUUCUCCCGGUGGGAAGACACUCGGGAGUUUUUGCAAGCCCCGGAUUGUAUGUGCUCAUUGGGCAAACAAACACUGAGUCUUUGCCUCAGAUGAAAAUGGUUCUGGACCAAUAAGCGUGGGGAGAGCCGGAAGCCUGCAUCCCAUCUGAAUACGAUUUGGACACAAGUGGUUAAAGUUCUUCCAGUGAUGGCUUUCGUUAUCUAUAAAAUUAAGACUAAGCCAGAGAUCAAGGAAUUUCAACUGGAAGCCAUAUCCUGUCUCCAGUCUCCCAUCUUGGUGUGAUUUAACCAUGUGAGUCUGAUUCAAUGACAAUCACGGCAUUGUCUACAAUACUGACAAGGUCGGAGACCACACAGUGGAACCUUGGCAUAGCAUAGUAUGAAUUGUACAGCAACUUAAGAGGAAUGCUAAAGAAGAAUGGCUAAAAUAUUCACAAUAUAUGAAAUUUAAAAGCUUUUGGUUGUUAUGACAACACUCAAGAAAAUCAACUGGAAAGAGAAAAAGAAAAAGUCCCAGUAGAGACUUUGAAACCCCUGCUCCUGGCCAAGGCACCGAAAACUGUAUUUCCAAUCAGGAAGAAUAGCAGAGAUGGGUGUCAUCAUAAGGCUCCGGACCCUGGUCUCCUGCUCUCCCCAUGUAAUUCACAUACUUAAUCCCUUCAA